RNAcentral lists this ribosomal RNA (330 nucleotides) under uncultured eukaryote. Its description in RNAcentral is "partial 18S ribosomal RNA". It matches the Rfam family "Eukaryotic small subunit ribosomal RNA", at positions 1470 to 1796 of the family's 1831-position model. The record is from RNAcentral.
CCCUUAGAUGUUCUGGGCCGCACGCGCGCUACACUGAUGCAUUCAACGAGUCUAAAACCUGGUCUGAUAGGGCUGGGUAAUCUUUUGAAUGUGCAUCGUGAUUGGGAUAGAUGAUUGCAAUUCUUCAUCUUCAACGAGGAAUGCCUAGUAAACGCAAGUCAUCAGCUUGCAUUGAUUACGUCCCUGCCCUUUGUACACACCGCCCGUCGCUCCUACCGAUUGAAUGUUCCGAUGAAUACCAUGGACUGAGAGUAUGAAUGGGUUCGCCUAUUUCUGCUUCUCGGGAAGUGGAGUAAAUCUUAACAUUUAGAGGAAGGAGAUGUCGUAACA